UGUUCCCUGGCAUGUGCGCCAGCAGGGUUAAGUCCCUGAGCCGAUUCUCUUCCCCCUGGGGGCGAAUAUGAUUGUCCAGUGUGCAUGUCCGCUACGGCGGAAAGCCUGACGGCCAAUCUGACGUCUCCACCUUGAACCCUUUGGUUCAAGGGCGAUACCCAGCAGCGGCAUGAUCGGGGAACUC
RNAcentral lists this non-coding RNA (184 nucleotides) under Gammaproteobacteria bacterium. RNAcentral's name for it is "6S RNA". It matches the Rfam family "6S / SsrS RNA". From Rfam's summary of the family: E. coli 6S RNA was the first non coding RNA to be sequenced, but its function was unknown until recently. Lineage: Bacteria; Pseudomonadati; Pseudomonadota; Gammaproteobacteria. RNAcentral also lists the same sequence under 1 other name. The record is from RNAcentral.